UCGCGGCCUAUCAGCUUGUUGGUGGGGUGAUGGCCUACCAAGGCUUUGACGGGUAGCCGGCCUGAGAGGGUGACCGGUCACAUUGGGACUGAGAUACGGCCCAGACUCCUACGGGAGGCAGCAGUGGGGAAUAUUGCACAAUGGGCGAAAGCCUGAUGCAGCGACGCCGCGUGAGGGAUGGAGGCCUUCGGGUUGUAAACCUCUUUCGCUCAUGGUCAAGCCGCAACUUAGGGUUGUGGUGAGGGUAGUGGGUAAAGAAGCGCCGGCUAACUACGUGCCAGCAGCCGCGGUAAUACGUAGGGCGCGAGCGUUGUCCGGAAUUAUUGGGCGUAAAGGGCUUGUAGGCGGUUGGUCGCGUCUGCCGUGAAAUCCUCUGGCUUAACUGGGGGCGUGCGGUGGGUACGGGCUGACUUGAGUGCGGUAGGGGAGACUGGAACUCCUGGUGUAGCGGUGGAAUGCGCAGAUAUCAGGAAGAACACCGGUGGCGAAGGCGGGUCUCUGGGCCGUUACUGACGCUGAGGAGCGAAAGCGUGGGGAGCGAACAGGAUUAGAUACCCUGGUAGUCCACGCUGUAAACGUUGGGCACUAGGUGUGGGGGCCACCCGUGGUUUCUGCGCCGUAGCUAACGCUUUAAGUGCCCCGCCUGGGGAGUACGGCCGCAAGGCUAAAACUCAAAGGAAUUGACGGC
This 688-nucleotide ribosomal RNA is filed under the name uncultured bacterium. RNAcentral describes it as "bacterial SSU rRNA". It matches the Rfam family "Bacterial small subunit ribosomal RNA", at positions 231 to 917 of the family's 1533-position model. The record is from RNAcentral.